AGCAGCCGCGGUAAUUCCAGCUCCAAUAGCGUAUAUUAAAGUUGUUGCAGUUAAAAAGCUCGUAGUUGAAUUUCGAGAUCAAUAUGUUGGUCGUGCCUCGGUACGUACUUGCAUCAUUGAUUUCUCCCUUCUGAUGAACCAUGAUGCCAUUAAUUUGGUGUCUUGGGGAAUCAGGACUGUUACUUUGAAAAAAUUAGAGUGUUUAAAGCAGGCUCACGCUUGAAUACAUUAGCAUGGAAUAAUGAAAUAGGACGUUUGAUUCUAUUUUGUUGGUUUCUAGGAUCGACGUAAUGAUUAAUAGGGAUAGUUGGGGGCAUUAGUAUUCAAUUGUCAGAGGUGAAAUUCUUGGAUUUUAUUGAAGACUAACUACUGCGAAAGCAUUUGCCAAGGAUGUUUUCAUUAAUCAAGAACGAAAGUUAGGGGAUCGAAGACGAUCAGAUACCGUCGUAG
Molecule: ribosomal RNA, 450 nt
Filed under: uncultured Glomeromycotina
Lineage: Eukaryota; Fungi; Glomeromycota
Description: SSU rRNA
Rfam family: Eukaryotic small subunit ribosomal RNA
Source: RNAcentral